GACGAACGCUGGCGGCGUGCUUAACACAUGCAAGUCGAACGGAAAGGCCCUGCUUUUGUGGGGUGCUCGAGUGGCGAACGGGUGAGUAACACGUGAGUAACCUGCCCUUGACUUUGGGAUAACUUCAGGAAACUGGGGCUAAUACCGGAUAGGAGCUCCUGCUGCAUGGUGGGGGUUGGAAAGAUUCGGCGGUUGGGGAUGGGCUCGCGGCUUAUCAGCUUGUUGGUGGGGUAGUGGCUUACCAAGGGUUUGACGGGUAGCCGGCCUGAGAGGGGGACCGGCCACAAUGGGACUGAGAGAGGGCGCAGACUCCUACGGGAGGCAACAGGGGGGAAUAUUGCACAAUGGGCGGAAGCCUGAUACAGCAACGCCGCGUGCGGGAUGACGGCCUUCGGGUUGUAAACCGCUUUGGACUGUGACGAAGCGUGAGUGACGGUAAUGGGUAAAGAAGCACCGGCUAACUACGUG
This 468-nucleotide ribosomal RNA is filed under the name uncultured bacterium. RNAcentral describes it as "partial 16S ribosomal RNA". It matches the Rfam family "Bacterial small subunit ribosomal RNA", at positions 28 to 507 of the family's 1533-position model. The record is from RNAcentral.